This 441-nucleotide ribosomal RNA is filed under the name uncultured bacterium. Its description in RNAcentral is "bacterial SSU rRNA". It matches the Rfam family "Bacterial small subunit ribosomal RNA", at positions 340 to 773 of the family's 1533-position model. The record is from RNAcentral.
UACGGAAGGCAGCAGUGGGGAAUAUUGCACAAUGGGCGCAAGCCUGAUGCAGCCAUGCCGCGUGUAUGAAGAAGGCCUUCGGGUUGUAAAGUACUUUCAGUCGUGAGGAAGGUGUUAAGGUUAAUAACCUUAGCAAUUGACGUUAGCGACAGAAGAAGCACCGGCUAACUCCGUGCCAGCAGCCGCGGUAAUACGGAGGGUGCGAGCGUUAAUCGGAAUUACUGGGCGUAAAGGGCACGCAGGCGGUUAAUUAAGUUGGAUGUGAAAUCCCCGGGCUUAACCUGGGAAUGGCAUUCAAGACUGGUUAGCUAGAGUCUUGUAGAGGGGGUUAGAAGUUCCAUGUGUAGCGGUGAAAUGCGUAGAGAUGUGGAGGAAUACCGGUGGCGAAGGCGGCCCCUGGACAAAGACUGACGCUCAUGUGCGAAAGCGUGGGGAGCAAAC